GUGCUUGCUUCAGCAGCACAUAUACUAAAAUUGGAACGAUAGAAAAUUUAGCAUGGCCCCGGCGCAAAGAAGACACGCAAAUUUGUGGAGCAUUCCAUAUUUUU
Small nuclear RNA from Pipistrellus kuhlii (Kuhl's pipistrelle), 104 nucleotides. The record is from RefSeq and is a predicted model, not a curated record. Lineage: Eukaryota; Metazoa; Chordata; Mammalia; Chiroptera; Vespertilionidae.